This 377-nucleotide ribosomal RNA is filed under the name uncultured bacterium. Its description in RNAcentral is "bacterial SSU rRNA". It matches the Rfam family "Bacterial small subunit ribosomal RNA", at positions 508 to 883 of the family's 1533-position model. The record is from RNAcentral.
UCAGCAGCCGCGGUAAUACGUAGGGGGCGAGCGUUGCCCGGAAUCACUGGGCGUAAAGGGAGCGUAGGCGGCCUGCCAAGUCUACUGUGAAAAGCCAGAGCUCAACUCUGGUCUUGCGGUAGAAACUGGCAGGCUUGAGGCUGGUAGAGGAAGACGGAACAGCUAGUGUAGGGGUAAAAUCCUUAGAUAUUAGCUGGAACGCCGGUGACGAAGGUGGUUUUCUGGGCCAGACCUGAACGAUGAGGCUCGAAAGCCAGGGGAGCGAACGGGAUUAGAUACCCCGGUAGUCCUGGCCCUAAACGAUGCUCACUAGGUGUGGGGUGCGUAHGGCAUUCCGUGCUAAAGUUVVCGCGAUAAGUGAGCCGCCUGGGGAGUAC